This 22-nucleotide microRNA is filed under the name Macaca mulatta (Rhesus monkey). RNAcentral's name for it is "Mml-Mir-337-as_3p (mature (co-guide))". Lineage: Eukaryota; Metazoa; Chordata; Mammalia; Primates; Cercopithecidae. RNAcentral also lists the same sequence under 2 other names. The record is from RNAcentral.
ACUCCUGUAUGAAGCCGUUCCC